Molecule: long non-coding RNA, 761 nt
Organism: Passer domesticus (house sparrow)
Lineage: Eukaryota; Metazoa; Chordata; Aves; Passeriformes; Passeridae
Exons: 3
Source: RefSeq, a predicted model, not a curated record
CCUUUUGAAGCAAAAUGAGGUGGCUGUGUUUUUUUGUGUGUGUGUGUGUUGUUUCUUUUUUUCCCAGGGAUUCCCCAAGUGGAUGGCUGUCAAAGAUUUUAAUAUACUGCAGGCACAGCAGCUAAUUCUCAAAUCUCUUGCAGAAGGAUCUUACAGAGGGAAGCUAGGAUGCAAAUCCUUUUGAAGGCUUUUUCCAUUUUGAAACCUAUAAAUAGGAAAGUAGGGCAAAAUGACUUUGACAAGUUUAGACCUCACCUUCUUUAAUUACUCUCUUUGGAUCAACAACCUGACUGCAAAUGCUUAUCUGCUCCCACAUUACGCACAGCCUUGAUGAGCACAGGAGAAGCAGUGAGUGCAGGGGGGAAUGUUUCAGAGCUGUGUGCUGAUCACGCUGUGUGGCCAGAGAUGGAGAAACCAGCACACAAAUUUACCAUCGGUGCUGUGCAGAGGAGCAAUUCAAUGCUCCAGCUGGUACAGAUGUGGAAAAUGCAUGGAACAGUUCCUGAAUUCCCACUAGUGGGGAGAGAACAGAUUUAAAUAUAAAUUGUACAUAAUAUGGGAGAGAGGCAUCACUAAAUACAGAUAUAUUGAACAGCAAUGAUAAAUCAAUCACAGAAAACCCUUCCAUGGCAUGACCUGUUCUUCUCCCAAAAGUUUGGAAGUGUUCCUAGGAAGAACAUAAGCCAUCCUCUGCUCUUCUGGGUUGAAUUUGAUGCAGAUACUGGAAGCACAAAAUGUUUCUGGUUAACUGAACCAAGGCA